This is a long non-coding RNA of Centruroides sculpturatus (bark scorpion), 644 nucleotides long. RefSeq lists it as uncharacterized. The transcript is spliced from 2 exons. The record is from RefSeq and is a predicted model, not a curated record. NCBI's taxonomy places the organism in Eukaryota, Metazoa, Arthropoda, Arachnida, Scorpiones, Buthidae.
UAGUAAUUUAAUAAUUAAUUAAGAAAUGAUUUAAUAUUUUAUCGUAUUUUGUUAUUUGAAAGAUCUGUCAUGUUGAAGUAGAAGGCUUGCUGUGACGUCUCACUUAGAUCCAAGGUCACGCUAACAAAUAUACAGGUUCUGGCUAUCCUUGUAGUUUAAAGUCGUACUCUACCUAAACAUUGAAAAUUGAGAACACUAAAAGAAAAUAAUAUUUUUUUCCAAUUUUAUGAUAAGCAAAAUUGAUAAAUUAUGUUUAAAAUCAACUGAUAAGUUAUCGUAUUGAUAAUCAUACGUAUAUAAAUUGAAUUGAUAAACUAAUUUAUAUACAGUUAACGGACAGAUUUAUUAAGUUUACAAGAAAAUAUAUGCAUUAUUGAAUAUAAUUAUCAUCUCAUAAAAAUUCAGGUAAAAAUGAAUGAAAACCAGAAAGAUUCGUUACAAGAAGAAAUGUCUUCUAAUAAAGAUGAACAAAUCAGAGAAAGUACAGGUGAAAAACCAAGCGAGGGUGAAAAUCGCCAAGGAAUAGUAACCGAAGUAAAAGUUCUCGCAGAUACACUUACAUCCCAAAUGGCUGGGGCAGAAAUGCUUGAAAAAGUCGGAAAAUCCGAAAAAUCAAUACUAAGAGCAGCUCCGAGUAGAAAAAA